AUACGUAGGGAGCGAGCGUUGUCCGGAAUUACUGGGUGUAAAGGGUGCGUAGGCGGGACUGCAAGUCAGAUGUGAAAUGCCGGGGCUCAACCCCGGAGCUGCAUUUGAAACUGUGGUUCUUGAGUGAGGUAGAGGUAAGCGGAAUUCCUAGUGUAGCGGUGAAAUGCGUAGAUAUUAGGAGGAACAUCGGUGGCGAAAGCGGCUUACUGGGCCUAUACUGACGCUGAGGCACGAAAGCGUGGGGAGCAAACAGGAUUAGGGACCCUGGUAGUCCACGCUGUAAACGAUGAUGACUAGGUGUGGGGGGACUGAACCCUUGCGUGCCGCAGUUAACACAAUAAGUCAUCCACCUGGGGAGUACGGCCGCAAGGUUGAAACUCAAAUGAAUUGACGGGG
Molecule: ribosomal RNA, 396 nt
Filed under: uncultured bacterium
Lineage: Bacteria
Description: partial 16S ribosomal RNA
Rfam family: Bacterial small subunit ribosomal RNA
Source: RNAcentral